UAAAAAUAUGUGGUGAGGCAAGGAAUACUAUUAAUAUUUUAUGGAAACCUUGAAGUUUCAUUAGAAAUAAAUGGUAUUUGACUGUUGCCUCUUAGGGUAAGGAUGAUGUAGACAGUGUAAGUUAUAUAGACAGUGUUCGUAUUCUGUCUUAGUGGUAAGAUCCAAGUUGUUUGUUUUCUUAGCAGACUAAAUAUAUACACUAAAUUGAUGAUUGCCUAAAUAACUAUGUGAAUGUUGAAGCAGAGCUCCAUGGAGAGAAUGUCUCAACCAUCUUAUCACCUGCUUUGCUUUGUACUCCUUAGAAGAGACCCUCGGAACCUGAUUUAAAGAUUCUCCCUUGAUCUUGAACUGCAGGGCUGCAUCGCCUGUUUUAGGAGACUGGAGACCAGUAAUAGAAGCUCGAGGUGAUUUCAGCCUCUCUUGUGAUCAAGGUCACCAUGUUUCCCUUCUCUAGGAAAGAGCCCAAGGCGAGUAAUAGUCAAAGUUCUUUUCUUGGUGUGGGUCAUGUGUUUAAGGGCUUUCGUGGUGUUACUCAAACAUAAUAAAUACAGUGAAAAAUUAACCAUGGCUCAAUGAUAAAUAUGAUAUGAGACAUUACGUUGAUCAAUCGAUAACAUGUAACAUUGCUACUUAUUAAUGAAAGAGGUAUCUAUUUUGGCAAUAAUUCUAUAGGGAGAAGUCAGGGAUAUUCAAGUAUCAUGUUCUUUGGUUUCUAUUAAUCGUGGAUGUAUUUUAUUAUUCCCAGUGGAGGUAUGACUUAAUUGAUACAGAUAUAAAAAUGAAUAAACUAAAAGUGGCCUCUAAGGGAACCAGUGGUGAUGACGGGUCAUGGACGGUGGAUAGUAGGUGUCUGGAACCCUGAGGUUCAAUACAAUAAAUAUUCUGUUUUCUCUAUUUACUUGAUCGUAUGGGUAGAUGUUAGGAAGUAUAAAGAUUAUGUUCUUAUUUUGGAUGAAUACGUUUAGAUGUGUUGUUAUGAAUGGACCAAUGAUAGAACCACUAAAGGAAAUAUAAAUAAUAGAGUAAGAAGAAAAGGCAAAUUAUUGUCUCAUUAGGAACGUAACAUGGUGAAGCAAGAAAUACUAACAAAAUUUGCAAACACUGAUGCCCAUUAUGAAAUAGAUGUUUCCAGGGUGUCUCUCCUUUUGCCAAGGAUUAUAUAGAUAUGAAUAAUUAAGAGUCAGUUUUAUUAUUCUGGAUCAGUUUCAAGUUUGAAGGUUUCCUUUUUGUUAAGAGAAAAAAUCUACAUUAUGAAAGAUUUAUAAAUUCCUAAAUGAGUAAGUUCAAUGUGGAAAGCAAGAAUCAGUGGGAAUAAAAAUUUCAUCAUUUUUUUCUGUCAUCACUGUGGUUUGUACUUCUCAGAAUGGACACAUUCAAGCUAAUCAGGCAUUCCUCCCUGGUUGGUGAGCUUGGUGACAGCAUCUGUGUGUCAGAAGCACAGAGAUGGAUAAACAGGCAUGCUGCACCUGAUGUAAGGAUCCUUCCCUGAUCAGGAGCUCUAGGAUUGCUCUGGAAGGAGCAGGAAGAUCGGUUACUCUUCAGAACGGAUGCUCUAGCUGAUUUCAGCUUCUGCCCUGAUGAAGAAAGAUUGUUGGGUGGCCUGGGUCUUAGGAGGGUAAGCCAAGGUGAGUAGCAAGAGAUUUUGUCUUGGUGUGGGUCAUUUCCUUUAGGGUAUUCACAGUGUUAUUAAAAAUUCAUAAAUACCAUCAAAAAGUAAGGUGUUGCCCAAUGGUAAACACAGAUAGGAAACAUACCGAUUAAGUGAUAAUACGUAACAUGGAGAUUGACUGAUGAGAGAGAUAUAAUCUAUGUUGGCAUUUAUUCUAUAGAUAGAAGUUAGGGAAUUCAACCUGCUGAUUCUUCAGUUUUUGUUAAUGAUGUAUUUUACUAUAAUCGAUGAGUUAAUGAUGUAACUGGUAUAAAUGUCGAAAUGAAUGAAGAAAAAGUGGGUCUUUUAUGUACCUGUGAUAAUGACUGGUGGCAGAUGAGUUAGGGACGCUGAAUGAGGUCCAGGUCAAUAUGUAGCCUUUCUCUCUGUUUAUUUGAUCCUAAGGACAGAUUUUUGGAUAGUACAAAGAAUGUUUUUACUGGGUUCAUAGAUUUAGAUGUAUUAUUAGAAAUAGAUCAGUAAUAGAACCAUUGAAGAUAUAGAAACAGCAGAUAAAUACAAAAACGUGAGGCAUUGUCCAACUUUGAAGACCUGUUUUUAGGCAAGAAACAUUAAUAAAAAUUGUGAACACUGACACCCGUUAAGAAUUAAAUGGAUCAAGAGUGUCACUUCUUUGGCCAAGGGUCAUUUAGACAUGAGCAAUUUAGAGUCCAUUUUAUUGUUCUUGAUCCAUCUCAAGUUUGAGGAUUUUUGGUGCUGUUGUUGUUAAAAGAAAAAAAACCAAUGUUAUGAAAUAUUCAUAAAUAUCUGAAUGACUGAGUAAAUGAAAUGUGGAAAGCAAGCACCAAUGUAAGUAAAUGUUUUAUUUUAUUUUUUAUCACCAACUCUGCUUUUCAUUUCUCAAAAUGGACACACCUCGAGCCGAUUUAAGCAAUAUUCCGUGGCGGUGAGCUCUGUGGUUGCAUGUCUGUGUUAGAAGCACGGAGAACCAUAAUGGACACACUUGAGCUGAUUUAACGUCUUGCACGAUUAUGGAGCUCUAUGGUUGCCUCUAUAUAAUGGGAGGAUGGGGAUUAAUACCAUUGGACCCGCUUUAAGGAUUCUCACCUGAUCAAGAGCCCUUGGGUUGCAUUUCUGUACUGGGGAGACAGGAGACCAAUAAUGGACACACCUGAGCUGACUAAGCAUUGUUUCGUGGUGGUGAGCUCGUGAUUGCGUCUGUGUGUUAGAAGCACAGAGACCAAAAAUGGAUAUCCCCGAGCUGAUUCAAGCAUCUUCCGUGGCCAUGAUCUCUUGGUUGCCUCUAACAAUGGAUGCACUCAAGCUGAUCGUAACAUUCCUCCAAGGUCGUGAGCCCUCAGGUUGCAUCUAUGUUGUUGGAGCGUGGAGACCACAACAGACACAUUGCGCCAGAUUUAAGGAUUCUUCCCUGAUCACGAGCUCUAUCUAGGGUUGCAGCUCUGUUACAGGAGUCUGGAGACCAACGUGAGUCACCAUCAAAGUUCUUAUCUUUGUUCCUCGGUUUUGUUUGAGGAUAUUCACUGUAUUGGUAAAAGGUAUGAAAUAUAAUCCAAGCAUGUGAACUGUAUCCUAGUAACGAUUACGGGAUUAGUAUGAAGUAUUACUUUGAUUAAUACAUACGUGAGAAGCUGAUGAUAGUUAAUGACAGAGAUCUUUUGUUGUGAGAAUGAUUCCAGUCACAUAAGAGGGAUAGCAAGGCCUUGUUUUUAAUACUACAGUUUCAAAAUUAUAAUUAGUGAAUUACUGAAUUAAUCAAUAAACAAUAUAGACCUAAAUGGAGAGACAGUGGUGCUCCUUGGAUCAGUGAUGAUAACUGCCAGGGUAGGAGUCAUGCGUGAUGAAGGAUGUGUGUGUGGAACCCCGAGGUCCAACAGAAAAGAAAUGUGAGUUUUUUCCAUGCAAAGAGUUCCUCACUUUAUCGUUAUCUGCUCUGAUCUGUACUCCUCAGAAUGGACCCACUUGAGCCGAUGUAAGCCUCUUCCGAGGCAUGCGGUCUCCAGUUGCAUCUAUGUUGUUAGGAACAUUGGAGACCAGGGUGAGUAAUGUCAAUGCUUGAGCUUAGGUGGUUCCUUUAAGGGUAUUCCCUGUGUUAUUCCAAAUAUUAAAUACAGUCAAAGAAGGCAAAAUACACCAGUGUUAAAUACCAGAUUGAUACGGCACAUUAAGUUGAUGAAUCCAUUAAUGUAAAUCUUGAGGUCAGCUUUUGAAACAAAGAGUUAGUCCCUGGAAAAGUUUGGAGAGAUAAAGGCUGUUAAGGGAUCUUGUAUUUAUGUGUUUUUAAUUCUGUCUAUUUAUGAAUUUUGUGAAGCCAUAAGCAAAUGUUUAUGAGAAUAACAAGAAAGAGGCCUGAUCAUGAACAGUGAUGGUGAAUGGUGGCGGAUGAGCCACACAUUCAUUGGACAAUGAAUACUACGUGUCUGGAUUCCAAGGUCCAGUAUAAUACGUAGUGUAUUCUGUUUAUUUAAUCCUAUAGACAGAUGUUAGGUUUAUGUCCAAUACAGGAACUUGGCUGAUAGCCUUUGAUUUAUUAUUGUUAAUGGACAAAUUGUAGGACUAUGAAAGAAAUACAAAUAAUAAAUAAGAGAGGGUGAAGCAUUGUUCAACUAUGAACAUAUAUGUGGGCAGGCAUGAGAUAUUAUCAACACAAUUGAAAACACUGAAACUCAUUAAGGAAUAGAUGGAUUAGGAGUGUCGCCUGUUUGACCAAGGAUCAUGUUAACACAGGUAGUUAAGAGUCAGUUUUUUGUUGUGGAUCUAUUUCAAGUUUGCUGCUGUUUAUUUUGUUAAGACGAAAGUAUUUACACAAGGAAUCAUUAUAAAUUCCUAAGUGAGUGGGUAAAAAAAUGUGGAAAUAUAGGAUCAAUGGGAAUAAAAAUGUAACUUUUUUUUUUUAAAUCAGUUAUGCUUUGUUCUUCUCAGAACGGACACACUUGACCUGAUUCAAGUAGCACGACCCGGUGGCAGAGGGACCGAUGUGCGUAAGAGUCGGAGUUCUUGUCUGGCUUUCAAACGAUGCACUUGAGCUGAGUUAGCAUCUUCCAUGGUCAAGAGCUCUAUGGUUGCCUCUCUAUAAUAGGACAGAAAUUAAUAAUGGACACCCUUGAGCUGAUUUAAGGAUUAACCCACAGUCAUCAUGUUUAUGUUGGCAUCUCCCUGUUAGGAGCACGGAGAUCAAUGUGAGUAAGAGUCAAAAUUCUUCUCUUGGUUUAAGCGGUACAGAGAAGGCCAACCAUGCCAGUGUGCAGUAUUGGAUUGAUACGAAACAUUAAAAUGAUCAAUCCCUAAAGAAACAAACACUAAGUUCAGUUAAUCAAAAGGAUUUAGUUUAUUUAUAUAUGAUAUUAUUGAUAAAUGUUAGGGAUAUUGAAGGAUCUUCUUUUUUGGUGUGAUGUAGGCAUAUUUCUUUAUUAAUGAAUUAGUCAAUAAAGAAGCGCAGAUGAGAGUGGACAGAAAGACAGCCAAUCAUGGACCAGUGAUGAUGACUGCUGGUGUAUGACUCAUGGAUGAUGAAUAAUGAGUGUGGAACACUGAGGGCCAACCCGAAAGGAACCUAGUCUAUUCCCCAUAUUUCCAGUCAUACUAUAGGCAGAGGUCUAGAGGCAGGACUAUAAUCUUUUUCUUGGUCUUUGUGUUCAUGAAUUAUAAAACUAUAACUACGAAAGAAUCAAUGGCAGAAUAAAUUAGCAAAUGUAUAAAUGAAUAAAGGUGAAGAGCAUGAAGCAUUGUUCAUUACUAAAAUAUAUAGUCAGGGAAAUGAAUAUUAAUAUUCACCGGAAUGGAUAAUAAAUGGGCCAAGUGUAUUACAUAUUUGAGUAAUUGUGACAUGGAUGGUGAUAGGUAGUAGUCGGCAUCACCUUGAGUCAGUUGUGAGUUUGAGGUUUGUUGUAUUGAGAGGAAAAUAAAUAUUACCACAAAUUAAUAAACGCUUAAAUGACUAAGGACAUGAAAGAUGAAAAUUGUGGGUCGGUGGGGACAGUGUCUCAUUUUGUAAAAAUCAUUGUGUCUUCUUGGUACUCUUCAGAAUGGACGCACUGAUCUGAUUUUAGCUUCUGCCGUGCUUACAAUUGUGUUGUCUCUGUCAGGAGAGAGAACAAAAAUGGACACACCUGAGCUGAUUUAACAUCUUUCAUGGUCACGAGCUCUAUGGUUGCAUAUGUGUGUUAGGAGCAUGGAGACCAGUAAUGGACUCGCUUGAACUGAUGUAAGCAUCUUCCAUGGUCCUGAGCUCCUGCUUGCAUCUAUUUAUUAGGAGCAUAGAGACCAGUAAUGAAUACCCUCAAGCUGAUGUAAGCAUCUUCCACGGCCAUGAACUCCAUAGUUACAUCUCUGCAUUAAGAGCAUGGAGAUCAAUAAUGGGCACGGCCAUCCCAAUUUUGGCAUUCUGUCAUGGCCCCGAACUCAGUGGUGUCUUUGGAGAACGGAGACCCUUGUGUGUGAGUAACAGUCGAACUUUUUGUCUUGGUUUGGGCAAUUUUUAAGAGUGGUCAAUGCAUUUUUAAGAAGUAGGAAAUAGAAUCAAAGGCCAAACAUGACCCAGUAAUAAACAUGGGACUGGUACAAAACAUUAUGUUGAGAUGUCCAUAUGUGAAACACAGAGACCGAUUUCAGAAACAGAUCUAACGUCUGUGGGAAAUGAUUCCAUAGAUAGCUAUUAGGGAUAUUGAGGCUCUUAUUCUGGGUUUUUUGGAUUCAUGUAUAUUUCUUCAUGAGUAAGUAGUGAAUUAAUGAAUAAGUCAAUAGACAAAAUAUAAGGGAAUAGAAGGAAUAAGUCAAUAGACAAAAUAUAAAGGUUCACAAGCUUGGGCCAUUGAUGGUGCCUGGUGGUGUACGAGUCAAGGAUGACAAAUGAUACAUGUCUGGACCCCUGUAUGGAAGGUGUUGAAUCAAUACAUUGUACACCUGAAACUAAGAUUACACUGUAUGUUAAUUAAUCGGAAUUGAAAUAAAAACUUAAAAAAUAAAAUAGUUCAUAUUCAUUUCCCCCUUUUUUUCCAUCUACUUUCUACUUUACGGAAUGGAUACACUUAAGCCGAUAAUCAUUCUGUAAUGAUCAGGACCUUGAUGGUUCAAUGUGAGUAAUACUCCAAAUUCUUGUUUUUGUCUAUACAAACAGCGGGGGUUGUCUGUAUAGGGUAUUCAGAGUUGUCUGCGUGAUUGAAAAGUAUGGAAUAUAACUUGUGGGGAUGAGCCCUGGGUGUUAUAUGUAGGGGAUGAUCGCUGGAAUUUACUCCUGAAAUCAUUAUUGCCCUAUCCGCUAACUAACAUGGAUGUAAAUAAAUAAAUAAAUAAAUAAAUAAAUAAAUAGUAUGGAAUAUAAUCAAAGAAAGCCACAUGAGGACAGCGAUGAGAUUGUGUCACAAACCAAGGUUCAUGAUAUAUCUGAUUUAGCACAACACAUCCUUUUAAAAAAGGAGUUCUAAUCUUUUAGCUCUGAAGGUAUGGGACCCAGAGUAAACUGCCUGCCACUCCUAGUUCCUUUUCUUUUUUUAGUUUACUUAUUUAUUUUGAGAGAGAGAGAGAGUGAGAGAGAGAGAGAGAGUCAGAGAGACAGAAUCCCA
Molecule: long non-coding RNA, 7188 nt
Organism: Leopardus geoffroyi (Geoffroy's cat)
Lineage: Eukaryota; Metazoa; Chordata; Mammalia; Carnivora; Felidae
Exons: 16
Source: RefSeq, a predicted model, not a curated record